GAGCGGAAAGGCCCUUCGGGGUACUCGAGCGGCGAACGGGUGAGUAGCACGUGAGUAACCUGUCCUUGGCUUUGGGAUAACCCUCGGAAACGGGGGCUAAUACCGGAUAGGACCUGGCCCUGCAUGGGGUUGGGUGGAAAGUUUUUUCGGCCAGGGGUGGGCUCGCGGCCUAUCAGCUUGUUGGUGGGGUGAUGGCCUACCAAGGCGACGACGGGUAGCCGGCCUGAGAGGGCGACCGGCCACACUGGGACUGGGACACGGCCCAGACUCCUACGGGAGGCAGCAGUGGGGAAUAUUGCACAAUGGGCGGAAGCCUGAUGCAGCGACGCCGCGUGAGGGAUGACGGCCUUCGGGUUGUAAACCUCUUUCAGCAGGGACGAAGCGCAAGUGACGGUACCUGCAGUAGAAGCGACGGCCAACUACGUGCCAGCAGCCGCGGUAAU
This 443-nucleotide ribosomal RNA is filed under the name uncultured bacterium. RNAcentral describes it as "bacterial SSU rRNA". It matches the Rfam family "Bacterial small subunit ribosomal RNA", at positions 64 to 524 of the family's 1533-position model. The record is from RNAcentral.